RNAcentral lists this ribosomal RNA (465 nucleotides) under uncultured bacterium. RNAcentral describes it as "bacterial SSU rRNA". It matches the Rfam family "Bacterial small subunit ribosomal RNA", at positions 331 to 794 of the family's 1533-position model. The record is from RNAcentral.
CCAGACUCCUACGGGAGGCAGCGGUGAGGAAUAUUGGUCAAUGGCCGGGAGGCUGAACCAGCCAAGUCGCGUGAGGGAAGACGGCCCUACGGGUUGUAAACCUCUUUUGUCGGGGAGCAAAGCGAGUCACGUGUGACUCAUUGAGAGUACCCGGAGAAAAAGCAUCGGCUAACUCCGUGCCAGCAGCCGCGGUAAUACGGAGGAUGCGAGCGUUAUCCGGAUUUAUUGGGUUUAAAGGGUGCGUAGGCGGACGCUUAAGUCGGGGGUAAAAUUGCGGGGCUCAACCUCGUCGAGCCGUUGAAACUGGGUGCCUUGAGUGGGCGAGAAGUAUGCGGAAUGCGCGGUGUAGCGGUGAAAUGCUUAGAUAUCGCGCAGAACCCCGAUUGCGAAGGCAGCGUACCGGCGCCACACUGACGCUGAGGCACGAAAGCGUGGGUAUCGAACAGGAUUAGAUACCCGAGUAUA